GACGAACGCUGGCGGCGUGCUUAACACAUGCAAGUCGAACGGAAAGGCCCUGCUUUUGUGGGGCGCUCGAGUGGCGAACGGGUGAGUAACACGUGAGUAACCUGCCCUUGACUUCGGGAUAACUUCACGAAACUGGGGCUAAUAACGGAUAGGAGCUCCUGCUGCAUGGUGGGGGUUGGAACGUUUCGGCGGUUGGGGAUGGAGCCGCGGCUUAUCAGCUUGUUGGUGGGGUAGUGGCUUACCAAGGCUUUGACGGGUAGCCGGCCUGAGAGGGUGACCGGCUACAUUAGAACAGGGAAACGGCCCGGACUCCAACGGGAGGCAGCAGUGAGGAAUAUUGCACAAUGGGCGGAAGCCUGAUGCAGCAACGCCGCGUGCGGGAUGACGGCCUUCGGGGUGUAAACCGCUUUCGCCUGUGACGAAGCGUGUGUGACGGUAAUGGGUGAAGAAGCACCGGCUAACUACGUG
This 468-nucleotide ribosomal RNA is filed under the name uncultured bacterium. Its description in RNAcentral is "partial 16S ribosomal RNA". It matches the Rfam family "Bacterial small subunit ribosomal RNA", at positions 28 to 507 of the family's 1533-position model. The record is from RNAcentral.